Molecule: unclassified non-coding RNA, 332 nt
Filed under: Hevea brasiliensis (rubber tree)
Lineage: Eukaryota; Viridiplantae; Streptophyta; Magnoliopsida; Malpighiales; Euphorbiaceae
Source: RNAcentral
GGGAGACAUUGAUUUUUCUUGCUGUUUCUUUCUUUUGUUGCUGUGUACACUGUAUCCUUGCUGUGUACAAACAUAUUCAAGGAAAUAUGUUCUUUUUUGAAAAAUAUUCUUGUUCCUUUGUUGUCUUUUAGGAGCAUUGGCAUAGGAUCCUUUUUGUGUUGCUCUAUUUGCAUCUGUUAUUCCAUUUGUGUAUGUAUUAAUGUGGCAUUUUGAAGGGGCAAGUGGGACCAAAGUGUUGAAAGUCAAAGAGAUAUUGGCAUCAAUACUUAAAAAUAUUGUUUAUUAAGGGAAUUCAUAUAUCUUUUAGAUUUUUUUUUUUCUUUUGUAACAAA